This 492-nucleotide ribosomal RNA is filed under the name uncultured bacterium. RNAcentral describes it as "partial 16S ribosomal RNA". It matches the Rfam family "Bacterial small subunit ribosomal RNA", at positions 29 to 507 of the family's 1533-position model. The record is from RNAcentral.
AGUGAACGCUGGCGGUAGGCCUAACACAUACAAGUCGAACGGCAGCACAGUAAGAGCUUGCUCUUACGGGUGGCGAGUGGUGGACGGGUGAGGAAUACAUCGGAAUCUACUUUUUCGUGGGGGAUAGCGUAGGGAAACUUACGCUAAUACCGCAUACGACCUACGGGUGAAAGCAGGGGAUCUUCGGACCUUGCGCGAUUGAAUGAGCCGAUGUCGGAUUAGCUAGUUGGCGGGGUAAAGGCCCACCAAGGCGACGAUCCGUAGCUGGUCUGAGAGGAUGAUCAGCCACACUGGAACUGAGACACGGUCCAGACUCCUACGGGAGGCAGCAGUGGGGAAUAUUGGACAAUGGGCGCAAGCCUGAUCCAGCCAUACUGCGUGGGUGAAGAAGGCCUUCGGGUUGUAAAGCCCUUUUGUUGGGAAAGAAAAGCAGCAGGUUAAUACCCCGCUGUUCUGACGGUACCCAAAGAAUAAGCACCGGCUAACUUCGUG